UAGGGAAUCUUCGGCAAUGGGGGGAACCCUGACCGAGCAACGCCGCGUGAGUGAAGAAGGUUUUCGGAUCGUAAAGCUCUGUUGUUAAGGAAGAACGAGUGUGAGAAUGGAAAGUUCAUGCUGUGACGGUACUUAACCAGAAAGGGACGGCUAACUACGUGCCAGCAGCCGCGGUAAUACGUAGGUCCCGAGCGUUGUCCGGAUUUAUUGGGCGUAAAGCGAGCGCAGGCGGUUAGAAAAGUCUGAAGUGAAAGGCAGUGGCUCAACCAUUGUAGGCUUUGGAAACUGUUUAACUUGAGUGCAGAAGGGGAGAGUGGAAUUCCAUGUGUAGCGGUGAAAUGCGUAGAUAUAUGGAGGAACACCGGUGGCGAAAGCGGCUCUCUGGGCUGUAACUGACGCUGAGGCUCGAAAGCGUGGGGGGCGAACAGG
This 429-nucleotide ribosomal RNA is filed under the name Verrucomicrobiota bacterium. RNAcentral describes it as "Verrucomicrobia bacterium partial 16S ribosomal RNA". It matches the Rfam family "Bacterial small subunit ribosomal RNA", at positions 355 to 776 of the family's 1533-position model. The record is from RNAcentral. Lineage: Bacteria; Pseudomonadati; Verrucomicrobiota.